Molecule: ribosomal RNA, 484 nt
Filed under: uncultured bacterium
Lineage: Bacteria
Description: partial 16S ribosomal RNA
Rfam family: Bacterial small subunit ribosomal RNA
Source: RNAcentral
AUUGAACGCUGGCGGAAUGCUUUACACAUGCAAGUCGAGCGGCAGCGCGGCCUUCGGGCUGGCGGCGCGCGGCGAACAGGUGAGUAAUGCAUCGGAACAUGCCCCGUCUGGGGGGAUAACACCUCGAAAGAAGUGCUAAUACUGCAUACGUCCUGAGGGGGAAAGCGGGGGAUGGCAAGACCUCGCGCGAUUGGAGUGGCCGAGGUCAGAUUAGCUAGUUGGUGGGGUAAGGGCCUACCAAGGCGACGAUCGGUAGCUGGUCGGAGAGGCUGAUCGGCCACCUGGGAGCUGGAACAGCGCCAUGACGCCUACGGGAGGGAGCAGUGGGGAAUGUUGGGCAGUGGGGGGGAACCUGAUACAGCCGUCCCAAGUGAGAGAAGAAGGCGUUCGGGUUGUGAAGCUCUUCCGGGAGGAGCGAACCGGUGGGGUCUAACAUGGUGCGCUAGUGACGGUAACGGAAGAAGAAGCACCGGCUAACUACGUG